RNAcentral lists this ribosomal RNA (489 nucleotides) under uncultured Streptomyces sp. RNAcentral describes it as "bacterial SSU rRNA". It matches the Rfam family "Bacterial small subunit ribosomal RNA", at positions 144 to 645 of the family's 1533-position model. Lineage: Bacteria; Bacillati; Actinomycetota; Actinomycetes; Kitasatosporales; Streptomycetaceae. The record is from RNAcentral.
CAAGCCCUGGAAACGGGGUCUAAUACUGGAUAGGACUGCCGGCCGCAUGGUCUGGUGGUGGAAAGCGUUUAGUGGUGCAGGAUGAGCCCGCGGCCUAUCAGCUUGUUGGUGGGGUGAGUGCCUACCAAGGCGACGACGGGUAGCCGGCCUGAGAGGGCGACCGGCCACACUGGGACUGAGACACGGCCCAGACUCCUACGGGAGGCAGCAGUGGGGAAUAUUGCACAAUGGGCGAAAGCCUGAUGCAGCGACGCCGCGUGAGGGAUGACGGCCUUCGGGUUGUAAACCUCUUUCAGCAGGGAAGAAGCGAAAGUGACGGUACCUGCAGAAGAAGCGCCGGCUAACUACGUGCCAGCAGCCGCGGUAAUACGUAGGGCGCAAGCGUUGUCCGGAAUUAUUGGGCGUAAAGAGCUCGUAGGCGGCUUGUCACGUCGGUUGUGAAAGCCCGGGGCUUAACCCCGGGUCUGCAGUCGAUACGGGCAGGCUAGA